AGGACAGACAUGGUGGGCAACUGGGAUCUAAAGAUGAGGGCAGGAAGCCACCUCUGCUUUAACUGGCUCAGUAAGCACGACAGGCCCCUUACACAUAUUUUUUUUUUUUAAAUGUGCUCAGAAUUAAGACCAGGGUGUUGUUCCUCAAGGCUCUAUCACCAGAUCAAAUUCUGUCCCUAAAACACAUGUAAGGAUCGGGGUGAUGUAAAGAAAAUGACCUGACUAUCAAAGACCAAAGUGUGCCCUGGUAACAAGUGUCUGUCAGCUGUCACUGGAAGGUGAGCACUGCAGAACCAAGUGCUCUUCCCUUUCUUACCUCAUUCUGAUCAUCAUUCAUUCAUACUGUGAGAGCCAGGCUGGGCUCCUAGAGAACAUCCUAAGUCCAAGGCCCCAAGUACUGGGCUUAGCAUCCUGACUUACAUGCUGGACCCAUGUCAGUGUGGUCUCUGUAAGACAGCCUUCUGAACUAGUAAAUGAGCAUCUGCAGCCGUCAAGUUAGUGCAGAGACCAUCCACUGAACCAUCGGAACCGUGGUCAGUCCAGCUUCUCAAGAACACAGCACAAAACACGGAACCCUGUACUGUGAGAAGCCACUGACCAAGACAGACUGUGAAAUACUAAGGAUUGUCUUUCCUUAUGUAACAGUAUUUCUAUUUAGAGGAACUCUAACAUUUCUUUAAAAAUGUGCUGCCUCCAGGAUAGCAAUAUAAAAUGUGUCAUACACAUUUG
RNAcentral lists this long non-coding RNA (729 nucleotides) under Rattus norvegicus (Norway rat). RNAcentral's name for it is "long non-coding RNA NONRATT021019". The record is from RNAcentral. Lineage: Eukaryota; Metazoa; Chordata; Mammalia; Rodentia; Muridae.